AGCAGAGUGGCCCAGCAGGAGUGUGCUGGGCCCAUAACCCAGAGGUUGAUGGAUGGAAACCAUUCUCUGCUA
This is a non-coding RNA of Merops nubicus (carmine bee-eater), 72 nucleotides long. The record is from Rfam. Lineage: Eukaryota; Metazoa; Chordata; Aves; Coraciiformes; Meropidae.